This is a long non-coding RNA of Brachypodium distachyon (stiff brome), 1907 nucleotides long. RefSeq lists it as uncharacterized. The transcript has 2 exons. The record is from RefSeq and is a predicted model, not a curated record. Lineage: Eukaryota; Viridiplantae; Streptophyta; Magnoliopsida; Poales; Poaceae.
CGCAGUAGGUCGUGGACUCGAUGCACUCGCUCGCUAGAAAAAAAAAGGAAAAAAAAGAAUACUCUGUCAGUCCGUCCGCACCGUUUCUUCACGAGCCGAGCGGCGGCGGCAUCCCGGCGGCGGAGUGGCGGUGCCGGAGAAACUCCUCCAUCCCCGCCUCCCCGGUGGCCAGUCCUUCUCCGGCGACCCGUCAUUCCCCAGCUAUCCGUACAUUCCUCCUCCUCCCGCUGUGUGUGGCGCUGGCUCCGGCGACGCCUCCUCUCCAGCGGCAGCGACGAGACAUCGAGAUCUGUUUUUCUUCUCCUUCUCUACUGCAACAAACAUAGACUUCUUAAUUAGGAAUUCUUUGCGCCUGGGCUGUUGGUUGGUCGCAGUGCCAUUGGUUAAUUAGGAAUUGUUUGUCUCGGCACUUCCCUUGGCAAAAAUUCAGUAUAUAAAACCCAGGUUGGUGGUUUUGCGGUUCUCUUGCUAAUGUAGACAUUUCUUCAGAUGGAGGAUACGGAAGUGCCGGCCAGAUCAGUGGAACACUACACUGCCGUCCAGACCAACAUCAAGUACUAACAUGAACAUCGUUUCAGACGUUGUCAUUGAUCGUUCUUUGAUCCUUUUCAAGCUUUAUUCAGCCAAGAAUCCAUGUACGUUGCAGGGACAUUAAUGUUUAGUUACUAGUGCUUAUGAAUUUCAUGAAUUGUGAUCUAUGUUCCAUGUCUCUAGCUUUAUUACUGUUUUCAUGCGGUCCAAAUUGAAUACUCCCUCCGGUCGGAAUUACUUGUCGAAAUAUUACAGGUAUCUAGACGCUUUUACACAUAGAUACAUCCGUAUUUGGGCAAAUUUGAGACAAGUAAUACCGGUCGGAGGGAGUAGCUAAUGUAGCUCUAGGUUUUUCAGUUUCCAUGUCUCCAUUAGUUAGCAGUGCUGUACUUAAUAUACUGUUCUUGGAAUACUUUACUUAUGUUCAGUUUCUAGUCUCAUCGUCUACUUUAACCCUGCACUAUGUCUUGGAAGGGUGUCAGAUUACUAAAAUCGGCUUCUACGCACGUGCUUAUUUGAUUGCUUACCUCCUUUUAUUGACCUCUGUGUUUCCUGAGCAAUGCAACUCACAGGCAUUGUCGAAGGGCUGGAGACCGUACUUUUAUUAAGAAAGAAAGGCAGAGUACAGGGAGAAACCAGAGUAGGCGAUGCCUACAAGGAACAGGGCAAAACACCUGUUACAGACACCACCACUGAAAACACAACUUGCCGCCGUAACAUCUUAAACACACAACAUCUGACGGCAAACAAGCUACAAAGAAGGACAAAUCAGAAGGCCUCAAUACAUCCAGCAGCUUUUCAGGCGCGGAGAUCCUCAAUGAUCAGCUCAGCUACUCGCUCCACAGUGGCUGCUUCGUGUUGGAAAAUUCUGGCGUUGCACUCUUUCCAAAGUCUCCAAUGGACAAAGAUUGUGAAAGUGUCGAAGUCCUUCUGGAGUUGUCGGCGGCUUAAACUUCUGGAAAUAUUUUUGUUUGCAACAAUGUGAGCGAAUCCCGUGUUCAGAGUAAUCACGGAACCAAUCAUAGAUAUGCUGAUACAAAAAUCUUUUGAGUUGCGGUGAUUGCUGCCUUCUGCACUGUUAAGACUGAAAACCUGAACAACUGCCAGUACUAAGCCGAGAGGAUACUGAACCUCUUGAAGCUCAGUUGAUAGGAAAUCAGCAAAUAUCGAAUCUUUUGAAGUGGACAAUGCAUAGAAAAUCAACAAAAGUGAGGAGAUAUAGUGGUGUUGCAGUGUGUAUUAUGAUAUAAUUGUAACUGAGAGUGCUCUUUGUUGAUUUUUAAAAGUAUCCACUGAAAUGCAAUGGUAGAACUCACCAUGCUAAAACCUUUGUAAUAUUUGUUGAUUUUUUUUAAUUAAGGAGCAAAAUUGAAUGA